UGGUGGAGUGAUUUGUCUGGUUAAUUCCGUUAACGAACGAGACCUUAACCUACUAAAUAGUUACGCGAUUCUCGAAUCGUGGACAACUUCUUAGAGGGACUAUCGGUGUUUAACCGAUGGAAGUUUGAGGCAAUAACA
Molecule: ribosomal RNA, 138 nt
Filed under: uncultured eukaryote
Lineage: Eukaryota
Description: partial 18S ribosomal RNA
Rfam family: Eukaryotic small subunit ribosomal RNA
Source: RNAcentral